This 498-nucleotide ribosomal RNA is filed under the name uncultured bacterium. RNAcentral describes it as "partial 16S ribosomal RNA". It matches the Rfam family "Bacterial small subunit ribosomal RNA", at positions 30 to 523 of the family's 1533-position model. The record is from RNAcentral.
AUUGAACGCUGGCGGCAUGCCUUACACAUGCAAGUCGAACGGUAACAGGUCUUCGGAUGCUGACGAGUGGCGAACGGGUGAGUAAUACAUCGGAACGUGCCUAGUAGUGGGGGAUAACUACUCGGAAGAGUGGCUAAUACCGCAUGAGAUCUACGGAUGAAAGCAGGGGAUCGCAAGACCUUGUGCUACUAGAGCGGCCGAUGGCAGAUUAGGUAGUUGGUGGGAUAAAAGCUUACCAAGCCGACGAUCUGUAGCUGGUCUGAGAGGACGAUCAGCCACACUGGGACUGAGACACGGCCCAGACUCCUACGGGAGGCAGCAGUGGGGAAUUUUGGACAAUGGGCGCAAGCCUGAUCCAGCAGUGCCGCGUGCAGGAUGAAGGCCUUCGGGUUGUAAACUGCUUUUGUACGGAACGAAAAGCCCUGGGUUAAUACCCUAGGGUCAUGACGGUACCGUAAGAAUAAGCACCGGCUAACUACGUGCCAGCCGCCACCGUAA